UUGGGUGCAGGAGCCCAAUGAUUAGGUCUGUUCGACCUUUAAAUUCUUACAUGAUCUGAGUUCAGACCGGCGUGAGCCAGGUCGUUUUCUAUCCUAAGAUUGUUAAUCCAUAUUAGUACGAAAGGACCAUAUGGUUAAAAUAUUUUUUGUUAUAUUGAUUAAUAUUAAUUUAUUUA
Molecule: long non-coding RNA, 176 nt
Organism: Schistocerca gregaria
Lineage: Eukaryota; Metazoa; Arthropoda; Insecta; Orthoptera; Acrididae
Exons: 2
Source: RefSeq, a predicted model, not a curated record